Molecule: long non-coding RNA, 1952 nt
Organism: Gallus gallus (chicken)
Lineage: Eukaryota; Metazoa; Chordata; Aves; Galliformes; Phasianidae
Source: Ensembl
AGAGAAGUGCUCAAAUCACCACAGCUGGUACUGUUUAGAUGCCUUACUAGUAACCUCAUGGAAGCCAAGGCUAUGUCACACCUGAAAGAAAAGGCUGUGGGGAAAGAAAUAAUUCUGAGUCAGCUUAACAGUCUUCCUCCUGAAGAGAAGGUAGAAUAAGUGUGGCCUUCACAAAGUAGGCUGAAAUCACUUUCUGGAGUGUCCUGCAGAUGUGAUGACUUUAUGCUGAAGAACUGUUGAUGGUGUGACCAUGGGUCUGGAGUGGAGCUGUGCAGAGAUAUCUGCAGAUCUGGCAUUAUGUUGUAUUGAAUUGUGUUUUGGUGUGGAAGAUGAAGAGAAAAACAUCAACUUUCUGCCCUCUCAUAUUCACAAGGAGAUGCAAACUAAGCACUGUGGCAAGCAAAUCCUUCCAGGAUGAUCUGACAGAGCUGAAGAAGUUAUUGUUCAUCAGUACUGGAUCUUUCUUUAGCUACCACCUGCAACCUGAGCUGACAGAAGGGACCAGAUCCAGGGUUUUAUUUCCUUAACCUCAGUGUGGUGUUGUAGCACACAUCAUUUAUUUCAGAAUGCAUUUCCCCCUUCUAACAACUGGUGCUCUGUUUUGGAAGCAAAGGGAGUAACUCCACACAGAGCUAGCAGACUGCAGUUGCUCCAUUUGUAUUAAGUUAAGCUUGUGGUCCUGUUAUUCCCUCUUCACUCUCAAGAUGCACAUUAUAAAGUUAGACCAGGAAGAAAACAGCACUUCCCACUUCUGUUUAGCCAUCUCCUCAAAUCUUGUUGUAUGGACUGUUUCAAUAAGGAUCCCCAGGGGCCUCCUCCCUUCUAGUGCAGUCUGUGGAGUUAAACCAAUAUGUGCGUUGGAGCCAAGACUGUUAUGCUACUGUAAUUGUCAAAUUUGAAAUCAAUGCCUUUUUUCCCUCAUGAGCUCUUCUUUUCUCAAUAAACAAGAAUUUGGCUGCAAAAAAAAAAGGCUCUGCAUAGAGACCAUUUCAUAACAGUCUCUUAUGUGAAAUGAGGCUUUGAUUUUCCUAAAUGGGCCACUGAACUUUCCUCUCAGGAAAGCAAACCCUACAUUUAACCACAAGAAGAGGCAUUUCCAGUGCUCUUUCAUAUCAGCAUAGCAUCAGUUUUAAGUAAUUUAAUGUAACUUGCUGUGUUCUCCAAUGUGAUAGGAUUUGCACCAUUUUUUUUGUUAGACUGCGAUGUUUUCUGGGAUGAGUAGAACAAUUGUGUCAGGCUGAGGUCACUCAUACUAGAGAGAAUUGCUUGAAUUUAGCAGUAUAUGGCUGAAGGGGCAUUAAUCUUAAUCAUCUUCCAAUUGAUAGAAGGUGGUAUCAAUUCUUGGCACUUCCAUUCUUCCAUGAAAGUGGGAACAAAGCUAGGGACCAUUUUGGUUCUCCUUUUGUCUCUGUACUCUAACAGAGUGAAAUGGUCACCAGGGCUCUUUAAAAAUUUUGCUAUGCCUCUGAGAUAUUGAAAUCAUCUCUCUGCACAUAAUUCUAAACUGACACGCAGUUACUUGGCUCUGACUUCAUGUAUGGCCACAACACAAUCAUGUUAUGCCAUCUUAUGGCUGGAUGAGACCAGAUCAGUUCUUGUAUGCAUUGCUUUCCUUCUGGCUUUAGAGAUUAAUAAUAACGCAUGCAUUACAACUCAUCUCAGUGAAGUAAUUAUGUGUAAUUGCAUAAUUACCCGUUGCAGUUGUUUGACUUACUGGCAUUUGUACUAAUUAAACUAAUGGUAUGCAAAACUACAAAUUAAUUUAAAAUAAGAAAAGCACUGAGCACCGCCUCUUGAGGGUGUGUAUAUGCAGACAGUGGUACCAUGUUUGAACAGAAAUGUUGAUCCUACAUCUUUUAUUGAACAUAUCACAUAGUUUUCUUUUAUCAGGUAAAAGGAUACAGCAUUAAAUAAUAAACUAUGUAAUAAUCCUAAACAAAACAAGAUCUGAG